Molecule: small nuclear RNA, 162 nt
Filed under: Ipomoea nil (Japanese morning glory)
Lineage: Eukaryota; Viridiplantae; Streptophyta; Magnoliopsida; Solanales; Convolvulaceae
Description: U1 spliceosomal RNA
Rfam family: U1 spliceosomal RNA
About the family: U1 is a small nuclear RNA (snRNA) component of the spliceosome (involved in pre-mRNA splicing). Its 5' end forms complementary base pairs with the 5' splice junction, thus defining the 5' donor site of an intron.
Source: Rfam by way of RNAcentral
AUACUUACUUGGACGGGGUCAAUGGGCGAUCAACAAAGCCCAUGGCUUAGGUUGAUGACUUCCAUUGCACUUUGGAAGGGUGUUAAUCUAAGGUCUAUAUUAUAGAUGGAGCCUAUGUCAUAAUUUGUGGUAGAAGGGGGCCUGCGUUUGCGCGAACCAUGC